Molecule: ribosomal RNA, 253 nt
Filed under: uncultured bacterium
Lineage: Bacteria
Description: partial 16S ribosomal RNA
Rfam family: Bacterial small subunit ribosomal RNA
Source: RNAcentral
UACGUAGGGCGCGAGCGUUGUCCGGAAUCAUUGGGCGUAAAGAGCUCGUAGGCGGCCGGUUGCGUCUGCUGUGAAAUCCCGGGGCUUAACCCCGGGCGUGCAGUGGAUACGGGCUGGCUGGAGGCAGGCAGGGGAGACUGGAAUUCCUGGUGUAGCGGUGGAAUGCGCAGAUAUCAGGAGGAACACCGGUGGCGAAGGCGGCAUCCUGGACCGACAUUGACGCUGAGGAGCGAAAGCCAGGGGAGCAAACGGG